GCUUACGGCCAUGCCACCUUAGGCACGCCCGAUCUCGUCUGAUCUCGGAAGCUACGCCGGGUCGGGCCUGGUUAGUACUUGGAUGGGUGACCGCCUGGGAAUACCAGGUGCUGUAAGCA
This is a ribosomal RNA of Gadus morhua (Atlantic cod), 119 nucleotides long. The record is from Ensembl. Lineage: Eukaryota; Metazoa; Chordata; Actinopteri; Gadiformes; Gadidae.